RNAcentral lists this ribosomal RNA (552 nucleotides) under uncultured fungus. RNAcentral describes it as "eukaryotic LSU rRNA". The stretch from base 195 to 348 matches the Rfam family "5.8S ribosomal RNA". The record is from RNAcentral. Lineage: Eukaryota; Fungi.
UCCGUAGGUGAACCUGCGGAAGGAUCAUUACAAGUGAAGUGUCCGCCCUAACCGGGCGGACGUCACCCACCCGUGUAUACAUACCUUUGUUGCUUUGGCAGGCCGUGUCCUGCACCGCGGGCUCUGCCCGCGUGUGCCUGCCAGAGGACCAAACUCUGAAUGUUAGUGAUGUCUGAGUACUAUAUAAUAGUUAAAACUUUCAACAACGGAUCUCUUGGUUCUGGCAUCGAUGAAGAACGCAGCGAAAUGCGAUAAGUAAUGUGAAUUGCAGAAUUCAGUGAAUCAUCGAAUCUUUGAACGCACAUUGCGCCCUUUGGUAUUCCGAAGGGCAUGCCUGUUCGAGCGUCAUUUCACCACUCAAGCCUAGCUUGGUAUUGGGCGCCGCGGUUUUCCGCGCGCCUCAAAGUUUCCGGCUGAGCUGUCCGUCUCUAAGCGUUGUGAUACAUAUUCGCUUCGGAGUGCGGGCGGCCGCGGCCGUUAAAUCUUUCACAAGGUUGACCUCGGAUCAGGUAGGGAUACCCGCUGAACUUAAGCAUAUCAAUAAGCGGAGGA